UGAGGAAUUUUGCUCAAUGGGGGAAACCCUGAAGCAGCGACGCCGCGUGGAGGAUGAAGUUUUUCGGAAUGUAAACUCCUGUCAGUGGGGACGAUAAUGACGGUACCCACAGAGGAAGCCCCGGCUAACUAUGUGCCAGCAGCCGCGGUAAUACAUAGGGGGCGAGCGUUGUCCGGAUUUAUUGGGCGUAAAGGGCACGUAGGUGGCAAGCUAAGUUGGAUUUGAAAGAUCAGGGCUCAACCCUGAUUUGGGUUCAAAACUGGCUUGCUAGAGAGUAGGAGAGGGAAGUGGAAUUCACGGUGUAGCGGUGAAAUGCGUAGAUAUCGUGAGGAACACCAGUGGCGAAGGCGGCUUCCUGGACUACUUCUGACACUAAGGUGCGAAAGCGUGGGGAGCAAACAGG
RNAcentral lists this ribosomal RNA (403 nucleotides) under uncultured bacterium. Its description in RNAcentral is "bacterial SSU rRNA". It matches the Rfam family "Bacterial small subunit ribosomal RNA", at positions 355 to 776 of the family's 1533-position model. The record is from RNAcentral.